Long non-coding RNA from Strongylocentrotus purpuratus (purple sea urchin), 330 nucleotides. RefSeq lists it as uncharacterized. Lineage: Eukaryota; Metazoa; Echinodermata; Echinoidea; Camarodonta; Strongylocentrotidae. The record is from RefSeq and is a predicted model, not a curated record. The transcript has 3 exons.
GCGCUUAGCUGCCGUUGGGGCAGGUUCUAUAUAGUUGUGAUCUGUGAGUCAGCGUCGGGCUGUCGUUGCGACAGGUCCGUUACCAGGAACGAGUAAAGUUACUUGAACUGCAGAUACUGUGCAAGUGUUGUUUCUUUAGUCCUGUCAGACAUUCAGUGAUUGCGGGAACUCUUCAAUGUUAUUCUUGUUCGACUAACUCCAUAUCGGAUGUUUGCUCUACUGCUGAUGACCUUGCAAGCGGUUCUGGAGUAUCAAGUGUUACAUGCUAUGAAGAACAGCGUUGUUGGACUGAUCAUUAUGAGAACUCAUCACACACGGUUGUGUCGCGUG